This 66-nucleotide transfer RNA is filed under the name Pseudoxya diminuta. RNAcentral describes it as "tRNA-Phe". Lineage: Eukaryota; Metazoa; Arthropoda; Insecta; Orthoptera; Acrididae. The record is from RNAcentral.
ACCUAGAUAGCUUAUUUGAAGAGUUUGACAUUGAAGAUGUUAGGGAAAUAUUUUUAUUUUUAGGUG